GUGAUGUUCUCAUUUGAUCUACUUUGGUAGAAUCACUUUCUGUCAGGAAAUUUACUGCAAUGAUGUGCAUAGUAAAUAUUUAAUAGCAUUAGAGGCAGCAGAGUCUAUUUUUCUUUGAAGAGUGCUUAAUUAUGUCAAUUUCCCAUGAUGAGAUGCUAAAGCCAGUAUUAUUUGAAUUUGGAGUACUGGGUGGAGGUGGAGAAAUACUUGUGUGAGGCUCCCCUCCCGUAAGAAGUCAAUGUAUGUGAGUUUAACAAGGCAAUACAGCAGAACCUCAAUCUCAUUAAUUUAGGCCACACUAAUUAAAUAUUUGUGAUACUAUAGCUGUGCUUGAACUGUCAGUGAGGGUUGGCUAACCUACACAGAAGUAUAAACAACAAAGGGGAAAUGAGUUGAAUCUACUUUUACCAUGUCCUCUCUAUUCAUGUACAUAGUAGAUGGAAUCAUAUGUUGAUAUUUGGCAUUCAAAAAUUUUUUUAAUGUUUAUUUUUGAGAGGGGGAGGGUCAGAGAGAGGCAAAUCUGAAGCAGGCUCCAGGCUCUGAGCUGUCAGCACAGAUCCCGACGCAGGGCUCGAACCCACAAACUAUGAGAUCAUGACCUGAGCUGAAUUCAGAUGCUUAACUGACUGAGCCACCCAGGUGCCCCAAUAUUUGGCAGUUUUGAGCUUAAAAAAGGGAAAUUUCAUAUGGGUCAAUUUAGAAGCUUUAAUCCUCUCAGUACAAAAACUCUGAUGAUAGACAAAACAUCAUUUCCAUUCAUUCCAGUUGCUGACAAACCAUGCUACAUUCUUCUUGCAUCAUCAGUAAAACGUCCUAAGCCAAGACCUUAACUGAUGGAAAAGUUGAUAGGAUAAGCAACCAAGUUCCAUUCGGCUUUCCAAGUAACUGCGUGCAUUUGGCCUCAAGAAAGCAGCAUAAAAUCAAAUUUACCCAGAAUGUUUCCUGCAGGUAAAUUUUCCCUCUUGAAAUGAUUCUCCAUAACCUGGAUGCAAGUGGACCACCCCUCACUCAAUAACUACUUAUUAAAUGGCCACUAUCUGCUAGGCAUUGGCUUCCUUAAGGAAAAGAAACUGAGAUUCAGAUCAUAUGAUCAGUACCACCAAGCUCACGGACUUACCAUGAACCAGCUGGAUGAUUCUUUCAAUGUCGAACUGAUCAGAACAUGGUCACAUCUAGAGAUGGAGCCUUCGGAAUCCCAUAGGAGUUCUCUGCCAUUCUUCUUCGGAUCUCUAUUUUUAGCUCGAAUGUCUUAAAUGAAUUUUCCAGAAAGAGAAGCCAUUUUUACAAAAAUGUGG
Molecule: long non-coding RNA, 1295 nt
Filed under: Felis catus (domestic cat)
Lineage: Eukaryota; Metazoa; Chordata; Mammalia; Carnivora; Felidae
Description: lncRNA (ENSFCAG00000047624.1)
Source: RNAcentral